RNAcentral lists this unclassified non-coding RNA (216 nucleotides) under root metagenome. RNAcentral's name for it is "partial contains small subunit ribosomal RNA, internal transcribed spacer 1, and 5.8S ribosomal RNA". The record is from RNAcentral.
UCUCCGUUGGUGAACCAGCGGAGGGAUCAUUACCGAGUUUACAAACUCCCAAACCCUUUGUGAACCUUACCAUAUUGUUGCUUCGGCGGGACCGCCCCGGCGCCUUCGGGCCCGGAACCAGGCGCCCGCCGGAGGUCUUAAACCCUGAAUUCUAGUGUAUCUCUGAGGAUGAAAAAAAACCAAUUAAAACUUUCAACAACGGAUCUCUUGGCUCUG